CGGGUGAGUAACACGUGAUAACCUACCUAUAAGACUGGGAUAACUUCGGGAAACCGGAGCUAAUACCGGAUAAUAUUUUGAACCGCAUGGUUCAAAAGUGAAAGACGGUCUUGCUGUCACUUAUAGAUGGAUCCGCGCUGCAUUAGCUAGUUGGUAAGGUAACGGCUUACCAAGGCAACGAUGCAUAGCCGACCUGAGAGGGUGAUCGGCCACACUGGAACUGAGACACGGUCCAGACUCCUACGGGAGGCAGCAGCU
Molecule: ribosomal RNA, 258 nt
Filed under: uncultured Staphylococcus sp.
Lineage: Bacteria; Bacillati; Bacillota; Bacilli; Caryophanales; Staphylococcaceae
Description: partial 16S ribosomal RNA
Rfam family: Bacterial small subunit ribosomal RNA
Source: RNAcentral